This 495-nucleotide ribosomal RNA is filed under the name uncultured bacterium. RNAcentral describes it as "partial 16S ribosomal RNA". It matches the Rfam family "Bacterial small subunit ribosomal RNA", at positions 28 to 505 of the family's 1533-position model. The record is from RNAcentral.
GAUGAACGCUGGCGGCGUGCCUAAUACAUGCAAGUCGAGCGAACAGACGAGGAGCUUGCUCCUCUGACGUUAGCGGCGGACGGGUGAGUAACACGUGGAUAACCUACCUAUAAGACUGGGAUAACUUCGGGAAACCGGAGCUAAUACCGGAUAAUAUAUUGAACCGCAUGGUUCAAUAGUGAAAGACGGUUUUGCUGUCACUUAUAGAUGGAUCCGCGCCGCAUUAGCUAGUUGGUAAGGUAACGGCUUACCAAGGCAACGAUGCGUAGCCGACCUGAGAGGGUGAUCGGCCACACUGGAACAGAGACACGGUCCAGACUCCUACGGGAGGCAGCAGUAGGGAAUCGGCCGCAAUGGGCGAAAGCCUGACGGAGCAACGCCGCGGGAGUGAUGAAGGUCUGCGGAGCGUAAAACUCUGUUAGUAGGGAAGAACAAAUGUGUAAGUAACUAUGCACGUCUUGACGGUACCUAAUCAGAAGGCCACGGCUAACCACG